AUUGAACGCUGGCGGCAGGCCUAACACAUGCAAGUCGAGCGGAUGAAGGGAGCUUGCUCCUGGAUUCAGCGGCGGACGGGUGUGUAAUGCCUAGGAAUCUGCCUGGUAGUGGGGGAUAACGUCCGGAAACGGGCGCUAAUACCGCAUACGUCCUGCGGGAGCAAGAGGGGGAUCUUCGGACCUCACGCUAUCAGAUGAGCCUAGGUCGGAUUAGCUAGUUGGUGGGGUAAAGGCCUACCAAGGCGACGAUCCGUAACUGGUCUGAGAGGAUGAUCAGUCACACUGGAACUGAGACACGGUCCAGACUCCUACGGGAGGCAGCAGUGGGGAAUAUUGGACAAUGGGCGAAAGCCUGAUCCAGCCAUGCCGCGUGUGUGAAGAAGGUCUUCGGAUUGUAAAGCACUUUAAGUUGGGAGGAAGGGCAGUAAGUUAAUACCUUGCUGUUUUGACGUUACCAACAGAAUAAGCACCGGCUAACUUCGUG
RNAcentral lists this ribosomal RNA (484 nucleotides) under uncultured bacterium. RNAcentral describes it as "partial 16S ribosomal RNA". It matches the Rfam family "Bacterial small subunit ribosomal RNA", at positions 30 to 507 of the family's 1533-position model. The record is from RNAcentral.